This 253-nucleotide ribosomal RNA is filed under the name uncultured bacterium. RNAcentral describes it as "partial 16S ribosomal RNA". It matches the Rfam family "Bacterial small subunit ribosomal RNA", at positions 524 to 776 of the family's 1533-position model. The record is from RNAcentral.
UACAGAGGUCCCGAGCGUUAGGCGGAAUCACUGGGCUUAAAGCGUGUGUAGGCGGAUCGUUAAGUACCUUGUGAAAUCCCACGGCUUAACCGUGGAACUGCUUGGUAUACUGGCGGUCUUGAGCCACUUAGGGGCUACCGGAACAAAUGGUGGAGCGGUGAAAUGCGUAGAUAUCAUUUGGAACGCCAAUGGUGAAAACAGGUAGCUGGGAGUGUGCUGACGCUGAGACACGAAAGCCAGGGGAGCAAACGGG